AUGCAAAAGCUAUUGUGCUGAGAGCUAAGAAACCCUACACUUCCACUCUCAAUGCUAGUGUGUUAAAAGAGAUUUUAGUAAUGGCAAAGCCAGUCAACAGGGAAUCAGUUCAGAUGAAAUGCAAUGAAAAAGCUCGUUGACCUCUAAAACAAUAGGUGGGGCCUACUCGAAUAAUAAAAUCAACACAAAGUCAACAAUUAAACAAGAAUGUAACAAUA
This 218-nucleotide long non-coding RNA is filed under the name Homo sapiens (human). RNAcentral describes it as "HSALNT0063918". The record is from RNAcentral. Lineage: Eukaryota; Metazoa; Chordata; Mammalia; Primates; Hominidae.